RNAcentral lists this long non-coding RNA (319 nucleotides) under Glycine max (soybean). RNAcentral's name for it is "long non-coding RNA (GMAX_LNC002397)". Lineage: Eukaryota; Viridiplantae; Streptophyta; Magnoliopsida; Fabales; Fabaceae. The record is from RNAcentral.
GGUUCCUAUUCUACCCCUGUCGCAGCCGCACGUGCCUACGACACCGCCGUCUUUUACCUUCGAGGACCCUCCGCGCGUCUUAACUUCCCGGAGCUUCUCAUCGGAGAAGGCGCCGCCGCCCUCACCGGCGGCUGUGACAUGUCAGCAGCUUCUAUUAGGAAGAAGGCCUCCGAGGUCGGUGCUAGAGUCGAUGCUCUUCAGGCAACCCUUCACCACCAUCACCACCAUGUUGUGCCACCACGGCAGCUUCUCUCUGCCAGCUGUGGCGGUGGGUCCGGUGAUUUUGCAGUGCGGGUUGUUGACCUGAAUAAGAUGCCCG